RNAcentral lists this small RNA (573 nucleotides) under Pongo abelii (Sumatran orangutan). RNAcentral's name for it is "processed transcript". The record is from RNAcentral. Lineage: Eukaryota; Metazoa; Chordata; Mammalia; Primates; Hominidae.
AUAAGUCAUACACCUUCAUUUUCAUUAUAUCCUUUUUUUAGAAGCAAGUCACUAAAUGGACAAUUAUUAACAAGUAAUGAAAGUGAAGAUGAUGAGAUUUUCCGAAGAAAAGUUAAAAAAGCAAGAGGAAAUAUUUUAAACUCUCCUGAGGAUCAGAAAAAUAGUGAAGUUGAUUCUCCACUUCAUGCUGUCAAAAAGCGCAGAUUUCCUAUAAACAGAUCAGAAUUAUCAUCUAGUGAUGAGAGUGAGAAUUUUUCCAAACCAUGUUCACAAUUAGAAGACUUCAAGGUUUGUAACAGGAAUGCCAGAAGAGGCAUCAAAGUCCCAAAGAGACAGAGUCACUUAAAGCAUGUAGCUAGGAAGUUUUUAGAUGAUGAAGCAGAACUUUCUGAAGAGGAUGCAGAAUAUGUUUCAUCAGAUGAAAAUGAUGAGUCAGAAAAUGAACAAGAUUCCUCAUUACUUGACUUUUUAAAUGAUGAAACUCAACUUUCACAGGCUAUAAAUGAUUCUGAAAUGAGAGCUAUUUACAUGAAAUCUUUGCGUAGUCCAAUGAUGAACAAUAAGUACAAAAUG